Molecule: long non-coding RNA, 1698 nt
Filed under: Canis lupus familiaris (dog)
Lineage: Eukaryota; Metazoa; Chordata; Mammalia; Carnivora; Canidae
Description: lncRNA (ENSCAFG00040003717.1)
Source: RNAcentral
AUGGCUCCAGCGCUGCCCGGGGAGGAGGAGGUGAGCGAGUCUGGCUCAUGGCAGCGUGCUCCUAGCAUCUGUCGUGUUUCUCCUCUACGGGCUGGCUCGGGGCGGCUCAUCCCGGCGGGGCCCCGGGCGGGCAGCCUUCGGGGCCGCGCGGGUCUACCUGCGCCAGCCCCGCACCUGGGCGACCCCGGCGGAGCCCACACGGACGACGCCAUGGGCCGGGCGUCCGGGCGCCGGUCCUCUUCCUCCGCCCAGGCCGCCGACCCCCCGGCUCCCCAGCGGGGCCUCCUCCUGCCACGUGACGCCCCCGCCAGGGGCCCCAGCGCCCUCCUCGCGGACGCGCCGUUCCGGCUCCCGGGCUCCGCCUGUGCGCGGCCUCCUCGGCGCAGCCAUCCUCGCGGCUGCCGAGGGCGGCAAAGCCCACGGCAUCUGCCAUUUGUCAUUCAGCCCGUCGGGACCGCCCCGAGCCUUGAUUUAGACACGUCUGGGGCGUCUUCUGGCCUCAGUCUCCUGGCGGGCGGACGGACGGACGGACGGGGCGGCUCUCCUCCCAGCCCGGCGGACCGCGGGCCUUGGCGCGCGGGGUGCUUCCCCGGGUCGCCGUCAUGGCCGCGGAGGCGGCGCGCCCGAGCUGCCGCGCCUGAGUUCCGGGGGGCCCGUGACCCCGCAGGGCACUCCCAGAACCAUGUGGAUGCCUCCCAGGAAAAUGACUUACUCUGGAUCAUGAAAAGGCUGAACUAACCCAGCUCUGACUUGCAGUCUUAGGGUUGAAGUUUAAUAAAAUUGUCCAAUUGUCGAUGAGCCAUGCAAUAGAAACCACUGAUAUCAUCAGCAAACACCUUCCAGGAAUCUGCAGUGUCAGCACAGACCUGCUAAGGGAAGGUACCUUCAUCAAGCCCAACUUAAUCAUGUCCCUCCCGCUGGAAGCCAGUAGCUGUGUAUCACAGAGAUGGAGCCUGGGUCGAGGCUGCGUAUCACAGUGAAUGGAGCCUGGAUCGAGGCUGUGUAUCACAGCGAUGGAGCCUGGAUUGAAUUGUAGCUGUGUAACACAGAGCUGGAGCCUGGAUUGAAUUGUGGCUGUGUAUCACAGAGAUGGGGCCUGGAUUGCGGCCAUCUUCCGGAACUAUAUCCACCCAGCAGACUGCCAUGCCAAUGUCAUCUGCUACAUUGUGUGCUGGGUGCUUCAGUUCCCUCCAUAAGGCUGGCUCUGUCUCUCUCUCACCAAUGGCAGCAUCACUCACUUGAUGGUCUGGCCUGAUGGCUGAGUGGCACUUGGGAUCCUUGGGGACAUGGGGUUCAUACCUCUGGGUAAGAUCUCCUAAUCCUAAGGGCUGCCUGAAGUGACCACUCUCCUCAACCCCUGGCCUGGCUCCCACAGAUGCCACCAAGGACACAGCUCCUUCCCUGUCUUCCCUCCGCAGAUUAUUUACAUUGCAUUUCUCCAGGAGGAGAGAGAAGUACAAAUACCUAAAGUAUUUAAAAUGUCCGUACUUUGUGCCCCAAUGGAAAAGGAAAUCAUUCUGAGCAGGUCAGCCUGUUUCUUGUGAUUUUUUUUUUGCAUUAUAAACCAGGAGGAGGCCUCAUUGAUGCCAUCUGCAGAGACCACGGCCGGUCCAUGUGAGAGUCUUUGGUUGUGAGCCCCUCAAGGCUCCUCUGCAAAGCCCAUCAGUCAUGAAGGGCUCCAAAGUGGAGGGGCCACCA